Molecule: long non-coding RNA, 400 nt
Organism: Peromyscus eremicus (cactus mouse)
Lineage: Eukaryota; Metazoa; Chordata; Mammalia; Rodentia; Cricetidae
Exons: 3
Source: RefSeq, a predicted model, not a curated record
GAGACUUUCUCCCUAUUCAGAGAUACUGAGUUUCUACAGUUGGUGAUGGAAGGACAACCAAGCACCCACCUGUCUAUUCUUCAAGGAAGGCUUCCUUCACAUACCCUCUGAGACAAGCUUAAUGGCCGCCAGAGUUUCAAAGGUCACUGAAAUCAACUCAUUUCUUCCAGCAGCCCAGAACUAUCCUUACGGAAUCUGACAUCUUCUCAUCUCUGGGGUGGAGCAACAGGAGAAUAGAACGGAAGGCCUCAACUUGAGACUCUGGAGAGCAAGAUGCACGCCUUGUUAUCCCCAGGAUCUCACAGAUCACCUUGUCUUCAGUCAGGAGCCAAUAAAUGUGUGAAUGAACGAGAGAAGAAAGGAAGGAAGGAGGCCAGGGGCUAUAAGGACAAGGGGGACU